AGAGUUUGAUCAUGGCUCAGGAUGAACGCUAGCGGGAGGCCUAACACAUGCAAGCCGAGCGGUAGAAGUCCUUCGGGACUUUGAGAGCGGCGCACGGGUGCGUAACACGUGUGCAACCUACCUUUAUCUGGGGGAUAGCCUUUCGAAAGGAAGAUUAAUACCCCAUAAUAUAUUGAAUGGCAUCAUUUAAUAUUGAAAACUCUGGUGGAUAAAGAUGGGCACGCGCAAGAUUAGAUAGUUGGUGAGGUAACGGCUCACCAAGUCAAUGAUCUUUAGGGGUCCUGAGAGGGAGAUCCCCCACACUGGUACUGAGACACGGACCAGACUCCUACGGGAGGCAGCAGUGAGGAAUAUUGGACAAUGGGUGAGAGCCUGAUCCAGCCAUCCCGCGUGAAGGACGACGGCCCUAUGGGUUGUAAACUUCUUUUGUAUAGGGAUAAACCUACUCUCGUGAGAGUAGCUGAAGGUACUAUACGAAUAAGCACCGGCUAACUCCGUGCCAGCAGCCGCGGUAAUACGGAGGGUGCAAGCGUUAUCCGGAUUUAUUGGGUUUAAAGGGUCCGUAGGCUGAUUUGUAAGUCAGUGGUGAAAUCUCACAGCUCAACUGUGAAACUGCCAUUGAUACUGCAAGUCUUGAGUGUUGUUGAAGUAGCUGGAAUAAGUAGUGUAGCGGUGAAAUGCAUAGAUAUUACUUAGAACACCAAUUGCGAAGGCAGGUUACUAAGCAACAAC
RNAcentral lists this ribosomal RNA (732 nucleotides) under Chryseobacterium sp. C_R1.137. RNAcentral's name for it is "bacterial SSU rRNA". It matches the Rfam family "Bacterial small subunit ribosomal RNA", at positions 8 to 740 of the family's 1533-position model. Lineage: Bacteria; Pseudomonadati; Bacteroidota; Flavobacteriia; Flavobacteriales; Weeksellaceae. The record is from RNAcentral.